CACAUCCCUCGGGGUAUGAAUGAUGUUUGCUUCUUUUCUUGCCUCCAGGCAUCAGAGCUGAGCAGGACCAGCAGUGAUGAGACAGACGGAGCUGCACGGAGGCAGGUUCUCAGCAGUAUUCAGAUUCCACCUCCUCAGUUUGCGUUGAUGUCAGACUGAUGUGAAAUACUGACGUUUUCCAUGUGAUGCUGGUGCAUGUUCUAUAAGAAGUGCCACAUUUUCAAUAACACUGAGUUGAUUCAGUUAACUUUCAUUUUACACAGUUAAGAGCCUGCCUCCUAAAACUUGUUUGUUUGGAACUCAUCUGUGAUUCUGUUAGCCAGUCUAAGAAGAAGCUCCGCUUCUGCCUCAUCACACUGACUCAUGUCUGAGAGGCUCAAUCUCAAACCCAUUGUUACAGGAAAACCACAGUAAUAGAACGUGGAGCUGAGGUAUUUGAAUGUGGACAUGAGAUAUUUGAACGUGGACAUGAGGUAUUUGAACGUGGACAUGAGGUAUUUGAACAUGGAUAUGAGGUAUUUAUACAUGGACAUCUGAAGGUACAGUAUCUGAUUGUGCGUCUGUGUCCUGGGCCUUCACCCAGAGCUUCUGCUUGCUGCUAACUCUCUCUCUGCUGUCACCCUGCAAUAUGUGAGCAACCUCUCAGUAGCCUUAUAUCCACCUCACUUUAUUAAGAAACAGGCAGUGUAACAGUCCAACACUCACUAAAACAUUAGCUUCAGAUCAGAGGAUCGCCUGCAGGUACGUAUGUAUAUGUAACAAUUAAAAAAUAUUCCAUGUUCCAUGAGGCCAACAGGUUUUGACACCAAAGCUUAUGACUGGGGUCAAAGGUCAUCGCUCUGGUCUCAUUUACUAUGUCUUUCCUAAUUUAGCUAAAUUAAAUGUGACACUGAAUCCUCCGAGCUACGAAAGCAUCUUCCUCAACAACCAGGCAGAGUUUGAGUGCGUCUUCACUGGACAGGAUGAAACUACCGUCACCUGGACGAUUGAUGGAAAAACUGAGACCGGCACCUGUACAACAGUUGGACCAAAGAAAGUCUGCACCCUGGCUGCUCAGCGCUCUGACUGGAAGCUGCAAAGUAAAGUGAGCUGCUCUGUUAGGGUACAAAACAAGGCAUCAAUCACCAAAGACCUGAUUGUUCACAAAGGAGAUAAUCCCAAUCCAACUGUGACGGUGCACAUUCUUCCAGAGGAGCACAUCGGCAGUAAGGUCACUCUGGUGUGUCUGGUGUCCGGUACCAAGAUGCAGGAUUACUACAUCGCCUGGACAGAGGACGAGAGACAGCAAACUGGCAACUACAAGGCCGGCACCAAGCUACUGCAGGAGAACGACCACGGUGGUUACAUGGUGGCAAGUGUUUACACGACCACUAAGCAAGAGUGGGAAAAAAAAAGUUUCACCUGCAACGUGUGGCCGUUCGGGCACAACGGGGUCAUGAAACCAACAACAGUGUCCAAAUAUAUGAGCAACUCAGUGGAAUGUAAGAAGUAGCACAAUGAGGCGUUUUGUUGCUGUACAGUUCGUUGUGUUUGACAAAUUGGUUUAAUAAAUGUUGCAUU
Betta splendens (Siamese fighting fish) is the source of this 1560-nucleotide non-coding RNA. The record is from the annotation of a RefSeq genome assembly. Lineage: Eukaryota; Metazoa; Chordata; Actinopteri; Anabantiformes; Osphronemidae.